This is an RNA transcript of Columba livia (rock pigeon), 6968 nucleotides long. It is a transcript of the gene named NADH-ubiquinone oxidoreductase chain 2-like, with no coding region annotated. Lineage: Eukaryota; Metazoa; Chordata; Aves; Columbiformes; Columbidae. The record is from RefSeq and is a predicted model, not a curated record. The transcript has a single exon.
CUGAAGACGCCAAGACGGCCCUACACUCACCCGGGGACAAAAGACUUAGUCCUAACCUUACCAUUAGUUCUUGCUAGAUAUAUACAUGCAAGUAUCCGCACUCCAGUGUAAAUGCCCUUGACUCCUACGCCGUAGGUAAAAGGAGCCGGCAUCAGGCACGCCCAUGGCAGCCCAAGACGCCUUGCUUAGCCACACCCCCACGGGUACUCAGCAGUAAUUAACAUUAAGCAAUGAGUGUAAACUUGACUUAGUCAUAGCAACUCAGGGUUGGUAAAUCUUGUGCCAGCCACCGCGGUCACACAAGAGACCCAAGCUAAUCGUUUGCGGCGUAAAGAGUGGACUCAUGCUUAUCACACUAACUAAGGUCAAAACGCAACUGAGCUGUCAUAAGCCUAAGAUGCAUUUAAAACCGCCCUAAAGAUGACCCUAAAUUCACAAGACUUAAUGAACUCCACGAAAGCCAGGGCACAAACUGGGAUUAGAUACCCCACUAUGCCUGGCCCUAAAUCUUGAUGCUCUAUAUAACCAAAGCAUCCGCCUGAGAACUACGAGCACAAACGCUUAAAACUCUAAGGACUUGGCGGUGCCCCAAACCCACCUAGAGGAGCCUGUUCUGUAAUCGAUACUCCACGAUACACCCGACCACUUCUUGCCAUGGACAGCCUACAUACCGCCGUCGCCAGCUCACCUCCUCUGAGAGCACUACAGUGAGCACAACCGCCCUAACCCCGCUAACAAGACAGGUCAAGGUAUAGCUUAUGAAGUGGAAGAAAUGGGCUACAUUUUCUAAUCUAGAAAAUCCCACGAAAAGGGGCAUGAAAUAGCCCCUAGAAGGCGGAUUUAGCAGUAAAGAGGGAUAAUAUAAGCCCCCUUUAAGCUGGCUCUGGGGCACGUACAUACCGCCCGUCACCCUCCUCAUAAGCUCUAAACUACCAAUAAAUAAUACUCCUACCUGCUAAAGAUGAGGUAAGUCGUAACAAGGUAAGUGUACCGGAAGGUGCACUUAGCACACCAAGACGUAGCUACAAUGUAAAGCAUUCAGCUUACACCUGAAAGAUGCCUGCCACACACCAGGUCGUCUUGAAGCCAACUCUAGCCCAACCCCCCACGACAACCGCACAUAAAAAUCUACUAAAUCUUUAAAUCAAAACAUUCUUCCAACUAAGUAUAGGCGAUAGAAAAGUCAUUAGGCGCUAUAGAGAUCUGUACCGCAAGGGAGAGAUGAAAUAACAAUGAACUAAGCCGAGCAAUAAACAGCAAAGAUAAACCCUUGUACCUCUUGCAUUAUGGUCUAGCUAGAAUAACCAAGCAAAGUGGACUUAAGCUUGCCACCCCGAAACCUAAGCGAGCUACUUGUAAGCAGCUAACCCUGAGCGAACCCGUCUCUGUUGCAAAAGAGUGGGACGACUUACUAGUAGAGGUGAAAAGCCAAUCGAGCUAGGUGAUAGCUGGUUACCUGCAAAACGAAUCUAAGUUCACCCUUGACACCUCCUCCAGGAGCCCUUACCACAACCCCAAUGUAGGUCAUCAAGAGUAAUUUAAAGGAGGUACAGCUCCUUUAAAAAAGGAUACAACCUUCACUAGCGGAUAAUUACAGCCUUACAUAACAAUUGUGGGCCUUUAAGCAGCCAUCAGUAAAGAGUGCGUCAAAGCUCCCCUUUACAAAAAUCCUAAAUCCGUAUGACUCCCUCCCCACUAGCAGGUCAACCUAUACUAAUAGGAGAGUUAAUGCUAAAAUGAGUAACUAGGGCAAACCCCCUCUUAAGCGCAAACUUACAUCUACACAUUAUUAACAGGCACCUAAUACUCACACUACAACAAGACUACGUAUUACAUCCCCUGUUAUCCCAACCCAGGAGCGCAUGCUAGAAAGAUUGAAAUCUGUAAAAGGAACUAGGCAAAUCUCCAAGGCCCGACUGUUUACCAAAAACAUAGCCUUCAGCCAAACGAGUAUUGAAGGUGAUGCCUGCCCAGUGACUUUGUUCAACGGCCGCGGUAUCCUAACCGUGCGAAGGUAGCGCAAUCAAUUGUCUCAUAAAUUGAGACUUGUAUGAAUGGCUAAACGAGGUCUUAACUGUCUCUUGCAGAUAAUCAGUGAAAUUGAUCUUCCUGUGCAAAAGCAGGAAUAAACACAUAAGACGAGAAGACCCUGUGGAACUUAAAAAUCAGCAGCCACCUCGCAACAAAACUUAACCUACUAGGCUCACCAGACAUGAUGCUGGCUCGCAUUUUUCGGUUGGGGCGACCUUGGAGAAAAACAAAACCUCCAAAAAUAAGACCACCCCUCUUAACUAAGAGCAACCCCUCAACGUACUAACAGUAACCAGACCCAAUAUAAUUGACCAAUGGACCAAGCUACCCCAGGGAUAACAGCGCAAUCUCCUCCAAGAGUCCAUAUCGACGAGGAGGUUUACGACCUCGAUGUUGGAUCAGGACAUCCUAAUGGUGCAGCCGCUAUCAAGGGUUCGUUUGUUCAACGAUUAAUAGUCCUACGUGAUCUGAGUUCAGACCGGAGCAAUCCAGGUCGGUUUCUAUCUAUGUCGUACUUUUCCCAGUACGAAAGGACCGGAAAAGUGAGGCCAAUGAUUCAACACAUGCCUCCUCCCUAAGUAAUGAAUACAACUAAAUUACAAAGAGAUCCCACACAGUACCCAAUCCUAGAAAAGGAUCGCUAGCGUGGCAGAGUUUGGUAAAUGCAAAAGGCUUAAGCCCUUUACCCAGAGGUUCAAGUCCUCUCCCUAGCUCACUACCUUCCAUGUUUAUAACCUACCUCAUUAUAUCACUAUCGUACGCAGUACCAAUCCUAAUCGCCGUAGCAUUCCUGACUCUAGUGGAACGAAAAGUUCUAAGCUACAUGCAAGCUCGAAAAGGCCCUAACAUUGUAGGGCCUUUCGGGCUCCUCCAACCAGUGGCAGAUGGUGUCAAACUAUUCAUUAAAGAACCCAUCCGCCCAUCCACCUCCUCCCCAAUUCUUUUUAUCAUGACCCCCAUUCUAGCCCUGCUCUUAGCCAUUACAAUCUGAAUUCCUCUCCCCCUCCCCUUCUCCCUCACCGACCUUAACUUGGGCCUCCUCUUUCUUCUAGCCAUAUCAAGCCUAGCAGUCUACUCCAUCCUAUGAUCUGGCUGAGCCUCCAACUCAAAGUACGCACUCAUUGGGGCACUACGAGCAGUAGCACAAACCAUCUCCUAUGAAGUAACACUAGCCAUCAUUCUUCUAUCCGUGAUUAUAUUAAGUGGAAAUUACACUCUCAAUACCCUUGCCACCACCCAAGAACCCAUAUACCUCAUCUUCUCCUCCUGACCCCUCGCAAUAAUGUGAUACAUCUCCACCCUUGCCGAAACUAAUCGAGCCCCAUUCGACCUUACCGAAGGAGAAUCCGAACUAGUCUCUGGCUUCAACGUAGAAUAUGCCGCAGGCCCAUUCGCCCUUUUCUUCCUGGCCGAAUAUGCUAACAUCAUACUAAUAAACACCAUAACUGCCAUCCUCUUCCUAAACCCAAGUUCAUUAAACCUACCCCCUGAACUAUACCCCCUAAUUCUAGCCACAAAAACUCUUCUUCUCUCCUCUGGAUUCCUUUGAGUCCGUGCCUCUUACCCACGAUUCCGCUACGAUCAGCUCAUACAUCUCCUCUGAAAAAAUUUCCUACCCUUAACCCUAGCCCUGUGCCUAUGACACACUAGCAUGCCCAUCUCCUAUGCAGGCCUUCCACCCUACCUAAGAAAAACACCCCAACAAAUGGAAAUGUGCCUGAACUCAAGGGUCACUAUGAUAAAGUGAACAUAGAGGUACACUAACCCUCUCAUUUCCUUCACCUUAGAAAAGCAGGAUUCGAACCUACACAAAAGAGAUCAAAACUCCUCAUACUUCCUCUAUAUUAUUUUCUAGCAGGGUCAGCUAAUAAAGCUAUCGGGCCCAUACCCCGAAAAUGAUGGUUUAACCCCUUCCCCUACUAAUGAACCCGCACGCCAUAUUAGUUUCAACCCUAAGCCUACUCUUAGGAACAACCAUCACCAUUUCAAGCAACCACUGGGUCAUAGCUUGAACCGGACUAGAAAUUAACACUCUUGCAAUCAUCCCAUUUAUCUCCAAACCUCACCACCCACGAGCUAUUGAAGCCACAAUCAAAUACUUCCUAGUACAAGCAACAGCAUCAGCCCUACUCUUAUUCUCGAGUAUGUCCAAUGCCUGAGCCACUGGACAAUGAGAUAUUACCCAACUCACCCACCCAACAUCAUGCAUUCUACUUACAAUUGCAAUCUCCAUAAAGCUAGGACUAGUACCAUUCCACUUUUGAUUCCCAGAAGUACUUCAAGGUUCAUCCAUAACCACAGCACUACUACUAUCCACAGCCCUAAAACUUCCCCCAAUUACCAUCCUCCUCAUAACAUCCCACUCACUAAACCCAACUCUACUGACCAUUAUGGCUAUCUCCUCAGCAGCCCUGGGAGGCUGAAUAGGACUCAAUCAAACUCAAAUCCGAAAAAUCUUAGCCUUCUCCUCCAUCUCCCACAUAGGAUGAAUAGUGGUCAUCAUCAUUUACAACCCAAACCUCACCCUUCUAACCUUCUACCUCUAUACCCUUAUAACCACCACUGUAUUCCUCACUCUUAGCACCACUAAAACACUAAAACUAACAACAAUGAUAACCUCGUGAACAAAAACCCCCAUACUAAACGCAACAUUAAUAAUAACCCUACUCUCACUAGCGGGCCUUCCACCACUAACAGGCUUCUUACCUAAAUGACUCAUCAUUCAAGAGCUUACCAAGCAAGAAAUAACCUUAACAGCCACAAUCAUGGCUAUGCUUUCUCUACUUGGGCUAUUCUUCUACCUCCGCCUUGCAUACUACUCGACAAUCACUCUGCCCCCCAACACUACAAACCACAUAAAACAGUGGCACACCAACAAAACCACAAGCACCCCAGUUGCCAUCCUAACCUCAUUAGCCACCCUGCUCCUGCCACUCUCCCCCAUAAUUCUCACAACCCUUUAAGAAACUUAGGAUCGACCCAAACCAAAGGCCUUCAAAGCCUUAGACAAGAGUUAAACCCUCUUAGUUUCUGCUAAGACUCGCAGGACAUUAACCUGCAUCCCCUGAAUGCAACUCAGAUGCUUUAAUUAAGCUAGAACCUUGACUAGACAGAUGGGCCUCGAUCCCAUAAACUCCUGGUUAACAGCCAGACGCCUAAACCAACAGGCUUCUAUCUAUUAGACUCCGGCACUCUUAACGUGCAUCAAUGAGCUUGCAACUCAACAUGAAACUUUCACUACAGAGUCGAUAAGAAGAGGAAUUUAACCUCUGUAAAAAGGACUACAGCCUAACGCUUCAUACACUCAGCCAUCUUACCUGUGACCCUAAUCAAUCGAUGAUUAUUCUCUACUAACCACAAAGACAUCGGCACCCUAUACCUAAUCUUCGGCGCAUGGGCCGGCAUAGUUGGCACCGCACUUAGCCUCCUCAUCCGAGCAGAACUGGGACAACCCGGUACCCUCCUAGGAGAUGACCAGAUCUAUAAUGUAAUCGUCACAGCCCAUGCCUUCGUAAUAAUCUUCUUUAUAGUUAUACCAAUCAUAAUUGGGGGCUUUGGAAACUGAUUAGUUCCCCUCAUAAUUGGUGCCCCCGACAUAGCAUUCCCCCGGAUGAACAACAUAAGCUUCUGGCUCCUACCCCCAUCCUUCCUUCUACUUCUAGCCUCCUCCACAGUCGAAGCUGGUGCAGGAACAGGAUGAACCGUCUACCCUCCCCUAGCUGGCAACCUAGCUCACGCCGGAGCCUCUGUAGACCUUGCCAUCUUCUCCCUUCACCUUGCUGGUAUCUCCUCUAUUCUAGGGGCCAUCAACUUCAUCACAACUGCCAUUAACAUAAAACCCCCAGCCCUCUCACAAUACCAAACCCCACUAUUCGUCUGAUCCGUCCUCAUCACUGCCGUCCUCCUUUUACUAUCCCUCCCAGUACUUGCCGCCGGCAUCACAAUACUGCUCACAGACCGAAACCUAAACACUACCUUCUUUGAUCCUGCUGGUGGAGGGGACCCAGUACUAUACCAACAUCUCUUCUGAUUCUUUGGUCAUCCUGAAGUCUAUAUCCUAAUUUUACCAGGAUUCGGGAUUAUCUCCCACGUAGUGGCCUACUACGCAGGUAAAAAAGAACCCUUCGGCUACAUAGGCAUAGUAUGAGCCAUGCUAUCUAUUGGCUUCCUAGGCUUUAUCGUUUGAGCUCACCAUAUAUUUACAGUAGGCAUGGACGUAGACACCCGAGCAUACUUCACAUCAGCCACUAUAAUCAUUGCCAUCCCAACGGGCAUUAAAGUCUUCAGCUGACUAGCCACUCUCCAUGGCGGGACUAUCAAAUGAGACCCCCCAAUAUUAUGAGCCCUAGGCUUCAUCUUCCUCUUCACCAUUGGAGGCCUUACAGGAAUUGUCCUAGCAAACUCCUCCCUAGACAUUGCUCUACACGACACAUACUACGUAGUCGCUCACUUCCACUAUGUCCUCUCAAUAGGAGCUGUCUUCGCUAUUCUAGCAGGAUUCACUCAUUGAUUCCCACUAUUCACAGGAUAUACCCUCCACCCCACAUGAGCUAAAGCCCAUUUCGGAGUAAUAUUCACCGGCGUCAACUUAACAUUCUUCCCCCAACACUUCCUCGGCCUUGCUGGCAUACCACGACGAUACUCAGACUACCCAGACGCCUACACCCUGUGAAACACUAUCUCCUCUAUCGGAUCAUUAAUCUCAAUAACAGCCGUAAUCAUACUAAUAUUCAUCAUCUGAGAAGCCUUCGCAUCAAAACGCAAAGUACUACAACCAGAACUUACCUCCACCAACAUCGAGUGAAUCCACGGCUGCCCACCUCCAUACCACACCUUCGAGGAACCAGCCUUCGUCCAAGUACAAGAAAGGAAGGAAUCGAACCCUCGUACGCUGGUUUCAAGCCAACCGCAUCAAACCACUUAUGCUUCUUUCUUAU